Molecule: non-coding RNA, 1044 nt
Organism: Manis javanica (Malayan pangolin)
Lineage: Eukaryota; Metazoa; Chordata; Mammalia; Pholidota; Manidae
Source: RefSeq, a predicted model, not a curated record
CCUAACCCAUGACCCAGGCGCCCUGGGUCUCCCCACAGGCCCUCUGGAGCAGGUCCCCGUUGCUUCUGUCAUGCCCACAGGUUGGGCCGCCCCUCCAGCAGACGCCUUUUGUUGGGAGAGGGAGGCAGGACGUAUACUCCCACCAGGAAAUGAAGCCAGCAGAUAGAUGCCUUUGCAAACUAGCUGGUCAGGAGUGGGGAACCCGACCUGAGGCGGCUGUGGGCACCGCGGCUGUCCCAGCAGCAGCUGAGGCCCUUGCUGUCUGCUGUCCCAAGCACUCUGGACCCACAACCCUAAGAACUUGGUACCGUCACCCAUUUCCCAGAGGACACCAAGAGGGCAGCCCCAGGUAGGGAACCCACAUCUGCCUGUCCCCCCUCAGAGCUGGCAGCGCUGCAGGUGGUGGCGCCGGCGGAGGGCAGCAGCGGCCUCACCCUCCUCCAGGAGACAUACCAGCUCUACAAGGACGACCCGGAGGUGGUGGAGAAUGUGUGCAUGCUGCUGGCCCACCUCGCUUCCUACAGUGAGAUCCUGCCCGAGCUGGUGUCGAGCGGCAUCCAGCCACUGGCCCAGGAGAUCAAGGGGCGCUUCACCUCCAGCCUUGGGGUGGUCUCUUAUGCAGAGAAGGUGCUCCUGAGGCUGGAUGCGGCCACUCCACCCAGCUCUGCCGCAGGGCAGUCGGCUCCACCCUGAGGCUGGCAGCUGCCCACCCGCUCCUGCCUGCCCGCCUUCUUUCCCCCGACCCCUCUCCCGGUCCCUUUUUUCUUGGACUUCACUGGAACUGCCCAGGGAAGGGGCAUUUUUCCCAGGGUCAGGGUAUGUGCACGUGCAUCUCACAAUCUACAUGACCAAAAGGGCAUGCGAGCUGUCCCUCGCAGGCGCACGACUGACCGGCAGUGCUGGACUCUGCAGUCUUUGUACAAACUGCAGCCCUGGCCUGAACAGGUGCAGCCGUCAGCCAGGGGGCCUGACCGUUCUGAAUGAGGGGAGGACAGUGAAGGUCACAAGCUCCAUCUCAAGUAAAAACCUGUUUAUAUUAUGUUA